This 255-nucleotide ribosomal RNA is filed under the name uncultured bacterium. RNAcentral's name for it is "partial 16S ribosomal RNA". It matches the Rfam family "Bacterial small subunit ribosomal RNA", at positions 524 to 776 of the family's 1533-position model. The record is from RNAcentral.
UACGGAGGGAGCUAGCGUUGUUCGGAAUUACUGGGCGUAAAGCGCGCGUAGGCGGCUUUGUAAGUUAGAGGUGAAAGCCCGGGGGCUCAACUCCGGAAUUGCCUUUAAGACUGCAUCGCUAGAAUCCGGGAGAGGUGAGUGGAAUUCCGAGUGUAGAGGUGAAAUUCGUAGAUAUUCGGAAGAACACCAGUGGCGAAGGCGGCUCACUGGACCGGUAUUGACGCUGAGGUGCGAAAGCGUGGGGGAGCAAACAGG